Gossypium arboreum is the source of this 385-nucleotide long non-coding RNA. RefSeq lists it as uncharacterized. The record is from RefSeq and is a predicted model, not a curated record. Lineage: Eukaryota; Viridiplantae; Streptophyta; Magnoliopsida; Malvales; Malvaceae. The transcript has 2 exons.
CCGUUUUCAAUUCUAUUCCCUCUUUUAUUUGCCGUUUCAACUUCACAUAAUGCUCUCAAUUUGGGAGGUUCCUUUCAACCUUGGAAUCUCCUUUGAUUUGAUUUCAACAAAACAAAGAGAAGAAAGCCAUGGCCUCUUCACACGGUGUGCAUGGCGUGGAGGAGUUAUUUGCGGAACAUGGCACGAGUGGAAGAAUCAACUAAAGGCUGCUGUGGCUGAAGCUUCUAAGAUUUCUGCUGAAAAUUCCCUAGGUGUUUUGGGCUUGGGGUAUUUUGGGUUAUUUAGGCUAGUUGGAUUAAGUUUAAUAAUUUGAACCCAUUAUUUUAGUUGCUGGACUAUGUAAGAAAUGAACAUUGGACUAUUAUUUAUAUAUUUUUUAGUUUUA